GCCUCCUUAGCUCAGCUGGUAGAGCAACUGACUUGUAAUCAGUAGGUCGCUGGUUCGAUUCCGGCAGGGGGCUCAA
This 76-nucleotide transfer RNA is filed under the name Cyclobacteriaceae bacterium. RNAcentral describes it as "tRNA-Thr". It matches the Rfam family "tRNA". From Rfam's summary of the family: Transfer RNA (tRNA) molecules are approximately 80 nucleotides in length. Their secondary structure includes four short double-helical elements and three loops (D, anti-codon, and T loops). Lineage: Bacteria; Pseudomonadati; Bacteroidota; Cytophagia; Cytophagales; Cyclobacteriaceae. The record is from RNAcentral.